RNAcentral lists this ribosomal RNA (1530 nucleotides) under Salmonella enterica subsp. enterica. Its description in RNAcentral is "bacterial SSU rRNA". It matches the Rfam family "Bacterial small subunit ribosomal RNA". Lineage: Bacteria; Pseudomonadati; Pseudomonadota; Gammaproteobacteria; Enterobacterales; Enterobacteriaceae. The record is from RNAcentral.
AGAGUUUGAUCAUGGCUCAGAUUGAACGCUGGCGGCAGGCCUAACACAUGCAAGUCGAACGGUAACAGGAAGCAGCUUGCUGCUUUGCUGACGAGUGGCGGACGGGUGAGUAAUGUCUGGGAAACUGCCUGAUGGAGGGGGAUAACUACUGGAAACGGUGGCUAAUACCGCAUAAUGUCGCAAGACCAAAGAGGGGGACCUUAGGGCCUCUUGCCAUCAGAUGUGCCCAGAUGGGAUUAGCUUGUUGGUGAGGUAACGGCUCACCAAGGCGACGAUCCCUAGCUGGUCUGAGAGGAUGACCAGCCACACUGGAACUGAGACACGGUCCAGACUCCUACGGGAGGCAGCAGUGGGGAAUAUUGCACAAUGGGCGCAAGCCUGAUGCAGCCAUGCCGCGUGUAUGAAGAAGGCCUUCGGGUUGUAAAGUACUUUCAGCGGGGAGGAAGGUGUUGUGGUUAAUAACCACAGCAAUUGACGUUACCCGCAGAAGAAGCACCGGCUAACUCCGUGCCAGCAGCCGCGGUAAUACGGAGGGUGCAAGCGUUAAUCGGAAUUACUGGGCGUAAAGCGCACGCAGGCGGUCUGUCAAGUCGGAUGUGAAAUCCCCGGGCUCAACCUGGGAACUGCAUUCGAAACUGGCAGGCUUGAGUCUUGUAGAGGGGGGUGGAAUUCCAGGUGUAGCGGUGAAAUGCGUAGAGAUCUGGAGGAAUACCGGUGGCGAAGGCGGCCCCCUGGACAAAGACUGACGCUCAGGUGCGAAAGCGUGGGGAGCAAACAGGAUUAGAUACCCUGGUAGUCCACGCCGUAAACGAUGUCUACUUGGAGGUUGUGCCCUUGAGGCGUGGCUUCCGGAGCUAACGCGUUAAGUAGACCGCCUGGGGAGUACGGCCGCAAGGUUAAAACUCAAAUGAAUUGACGGGGGCCCGCACAAGCGGUGGAGCAUGUGGUUUAAUUCGAUGCAACGCGAAGAACCUUACCUGGUCUUGACAUCCACGGAAGUUUUCAGAGAUGAGAAUGUGCCUUCGGGAACCGUGAGACAGGUGCUGCAUGGCUGUCGUCAGCUCGUGUUGUGAAAUGUUGGGUUAAGUCCCGCAACGAGCGCAACCCUUAUCCUUUGUUGCCAGCGAUUAGGUCGGGAACUCAAAGGAGACUGCCAGUGAUAAACUGGAGGAAGGUGGGGAUGACGUCAAGUCAUCAUGGCCCUUACGACCAGGGCUACACACGUGCUACAAUGGCGCAUACAAAGAGAAGCGACCUCGCGAGAGCAAGCGGACCUCAUAAAGUGCGUCGUAGUCCGGAUUGGAGUCUGCAACUCGACUCCAUGAAGUCGGAAUCGCUAGUAAUCGUGGAUCAGAAUGCCACGGUGAAUACGUUCCCGGGCCUUGUACACACCGCCCGUCACACCAUGGGAGUGGGUUGCAAAAGAAGUAGGUAGCUUAACCUUCGGGAGGGCGCUUACCACUUUGUGAUUCAUGACUGGGGUGAAGUCGUAACAAGGUAACCGUAGGGGAACCUGCGGUUGGAUCACCU